CAAUAGCGUAUAUUAAAGUUGUUGCAGUUAAAAAGCUCGUAGUUGGAUUUCUGGUUGAAGCGACCGGUCGGGCGUUGAUUCGUCUGCACUGGAGUCGGUUUUGGCCAUCCUCUAGGAAAGUGCGUCUGGUAUUAAGUUAUCGGGCGUAUGAUCCUGGUCUUUUACUGUGAAAAAAUUAGAGUGUUUAAAGCAGGCCUUCGCCUUGAAUACAUUAGCAUGGAAUAAUAAGAUAGGACUUUGGUCUAUUUUGUUGGUUUGCAGACCGAAGUAAUGAUUAAUAGGGAUAGUUGGGGGUGUUUAUAUUCCGAUGUCAGAGGUGAAAUUCUUAGAUUUUCGGAAGAUAAACUUAUGCGAAAGCAUUUACCAAGGAUGUUUUCAUUAA
RNAcentral lists this ribosomal RNA (382 nucleotides) under uncultured eukaryote. RNAcentral's name for it is "partial 18S ribosomal RNA". It matches the Rfam family "Eukaryotic small subunit ribosomal RNA", at positions 592 to 976 of the family's 1831-position model. The record is from RNAcentral.